GCUUAUCUGCAGUCGUGGGGCAGCAGGACUGUAGCAAUACAGUUGCUGGCGACCGGCAAACGGGUGCGGAACACGUACGCAAUCUACCCAAAACUGGUGAAUAGCCCUCCGAAAGGAGGAUUAAUACACCGUAACCUAUUGAAGUGGCAUCACUUUAUUAGUAUAGCUCCGGCGGUUUUGGAUGAGCGUGCGGCUGAUUAGAUAGUUGGCGGGGUAACGGCCCACCAAGUCUGCGAUCAGUAACUGGUGUGAGAGCACGACCAGUCACACGGGCACUGAGACACGGGCCCGACUCCUAUGGGAGGCAGCAGUAAGGAAUAUUGGUCAAUGGACGCAAGUCUGAACCAGCCAUGCCGCGUGGAGGAUGAAGGCCCUCUGGGUUGUAAACUUCUUUUAUCUGGGACGAAACCCUCAUAUUCUUAUGAGACUGACGGUACCAGAGGAAUAAGCACCGGCUAACUCCAUGCCAGCAGCCGCGGUAAUACGGAGGGUGCAAGCGUUAUCCGGAUUCACUGGGUUUAAAGGGUGCGUAGGAGGGCAGGUAAGUCAGUGGUGAAAUCUCCAAGCUUAACUUGGAAACUGCCGUUGAUACUAUCUGUCUUGAAUAUUGUGGAGGUGAGCGGAAUAUGUCAUGUAGCGGUGAAAUGCUUAGAUAUGACAUAGAACACCAAUUGCGAAGGCAGCUCACUACGCAAUCAUUGACUCUGAGGCACGAAAGCGUGGGGAUCAAACAGGAUUAGAUACCCUGGUAGUCCACGCCCUAAACUAUGGAUACUCGACAUACGCGAUAUACAGUGUGUGUCUGAGCGAAAGCAUUAAGUAUCCCACCUGGGAAGUACGACCGCAAGGUU
RNAcentral lists this ribosomal RNA (851 nucleotides) under uncultured bacterium. RNAcentral's name for it is "bacterial SSU rRNA". It matches the Rfam family "Bacterial small subunit ribosomal RNA", at positions 46 to 895 of the family's 1533-position model. The record is from RNAcentral.